Molecule: non-coding RNA, 31 nt
Filed under: Rattus norvegicus (Norway rat)
Lineage: Eukaryota; Metazoa; Chordata; Mammalia; Rodentia; Muridae
Source: RNAcentral
UGCAUGAGUAACUUUUGCCAGCAACCAAAGA